This 245-nucleotide ribosomal RNA is filed under the name uncultured bacterium. RNAcentral's name for it is "partial 16S ribosomal RNA". It matches the Rfam family "Bacterial small subunit ribosomal RNA", at positions 337 to 599 of the family's 1533-position model. The record is from RNAcentral.
UCCUACGGGAGGCAGCAGUGGGGAAUAUUGCACAAUGGGGGGAACCCUGAUGCAGCGACGCCGCGUGAAGGAAGAAGUAUUUCGGUAUGUAAACUUCUAUCAGCAGGGAAGAAAAUGACGGUACCUGACUAAGAAGCCCCGGCUAACUACGUGCCAGCAGCCGCGGUAAUACGUAGGGGGCAAGCGUUAUCCGGAUUUACUGGGUGUAAAGGGAGCGUAGGUGGCAUGGUAAGCCAGAAGUUCAA